Molecule: long non-coding RNA, 708 nt
Organism: Myiozetetes cayanensis
Lineage: Eukaryota; Metazoa; Chordata; Aves; Passeriformes; Tyrannidae
Exons: 3
Source: RefSeq, a predicted model, not a curated record
UCCAUCAGGAGGGAAGAAACAGCUUCCUAAUUCAAUCUUUUGGUCUGUACAGCUUCUCUUUCUCCACCUCCCUCCUCCUCUCUCUUGUCCCAAGAUGUAAAGAUUUUCCAGGAGAUAACAUGUCAUUGCUGUAACUGUAAGACAAGGCUGAUCUUCAGAUAUUAAUUCUUCUGAGAUUUUUCUGUCUCUCUCACCUUUUUGACUGAUAUAUCCUCUCUAUUUGUCUCCAAUUGCCUUCCUGUUGUGACACCAAGUAAAACCAUAAAACAUGAAUGCAGAAACACAGUGUUGACUAAAUCUUCAGCUCUGGGAUUGGAAAGAAGACCAUUGUGCCAGCACCUGAACACUCUGAAGGGUUUUCCCCCCUCAUAAUUCUUUGGAUGAAAACACUUCUGGUGAAGUUAACAUUCCUAGGUUGCAGUGUAAUUUAAUUUGUCAUUGUAAGUGGUAUUUGUUCGACAUUCACUUAAUAAUUUAAGAGAAAGGAGUUAUCUUUGAGUAUAAAGAAGUAAAUAUGUUAAAACCCACUUAGCCUGUGAGUAGUUUUAUUUUCUGAGUCAUUCAUAAAUGACAACUAACCUAAAGUGUUUAAAAAUAUUUGUCCAUAAUAAUAAUAACAGCAAAACCCAAUGUGAGUGUCUGAAAAGUUCAUUAGCUUAGGGAACAACAAUGCCACCUGUUUUGUUCAGUCAUUUGUGGGGGGGACAG